Molecule: non-coding RNA, 1555 nt
Organism: Chlorocebus sabaeus (green monkey)
Lineage: Eukaryota; Metazoa; Chordata; Mammalia; Primates; Cercopithecidae
Source: the annotation of a RefSeq genome assembly
CAGAGCUCCACUUUUAUAAGCUCAUGUAAAUAUAGUUUUCUCUAUAAAGACCCUAUCGUCAAAUAUUGUCUCCCUGGGGGUUGUAUUUUGGAGGGACAUACAUAUUCAGUCGGUUAACAAUGGCAAAAUCUUGGUUACCGUGCAGUGGGCCACACGGGGGUGCUGUGGGACCACUGAGCUCCAAAUGUCUCUGGGGUGUGCACAGAACCGGGAGCCUGGGACAUGGAGGGUUAAGGAGCAGCCUUGCUUGAUGUUUGUGCUCACUAAAAAUGUGAUGGCAGAUACGUAAAAUUGCAGGUGUGCCUCUCUUCAGGGAGCCAUGCACUUCAGCUCUGCUUGGGUUAGGGAGUCUCCGUGAGCUUGCAAGGGAGAAUGAAAAUGGGCUGUCCAAUGCUGGAAUGGGACAACCUGCAUGUCCCAGGCAGGGACAGACAGAGGAAAAACUGCCUGGAGGGAAAAGCAAAGGAACUUGGCGGGGGACAUGCAGCCUAACCUCAUUCCAGCUCAGAGCAGCCCAGUCUGACCCCAUAUGGUAUGUGAGAGUAUUUACAGCACAAAGCAGAGAUCUUGGAUCGGGUAAGCCAGGGGCAUAACAAGGAAGGCAGGGUGCAUGAGAACCUGCAGAGAUGACAUCAGAGCAGUGACAUCACAGCCUAACAUCCGAUCAGAGAUGCGAUGCCCAAAACCCCAGCUCUCAGAGAACAAGUAUCCCUCGCAGGGUGACACCUGACCAGCUCUGUCCCACCCGGCCAUGGGCUCCAGAUACCUCUGAUCGGAAGGCCUUUGUCUCCUGGGACCCGGUGAGUCCUUGGCACAGGUGGGAUGUCUCUGAAGCACCCCUCAUCCAAGGCCCCUCAGGCUCCCUCCGGUGUUCUUGCCCCAGCUUUUGUCUCAUUCCCUCACAGGCCCAGUGGAUUCUGCUGUGCAGAGCAGAGAGCAGUGGACCUCAGGAGGCCUGCAAGGGGAGGACAUAGGACAGUGACAUCAUAGGAUGCCCCUCCCACCAGGAAAAGCGAGGCUGAGAAUUCAGCUCUUCCCCAGGAGGACCAAACCCUGAGCACAGACACAGUGCUGCCUGUGCCUUGGUGCCACGGGCUCCAUGCUGCUCUGCUGGGCCCUGCUUUGUCUCCUGGGAGCAGGUCCAGUAGAGGCUGGAGUCACUCAAACUCCAAGAUCUCUGAUCAAAAUGAGAGGACAGCAAGUGACACUGAGCUGCUCCCCUAUCUCUGGGCAUAGGAGUGUGUCCUGGUACCAACAGACCCCAGGACAAGGCCUUCAGCUCCUCUUCGAAUACUUCAGUGAGACACAGAGACAAAAAGGAAACUUCCCUAAUCGAUUCUCAGGGCGACAGUUCUCUAACUCUCACUCUGAGAUGAAUGUGAGCACCUUGGAGCUGGGGGACUCGGCCCUUUAUCUUUGUGCCAGCAGCUUGGCACAGCCCUACAAAGCCAACCACAUUCUGUGCACAAACCUCCCCGGCCCAAUGUGGAGCAACCUCAGCCCUGACAUAUCUGUGAGAACCUGGGGACUGCAGGGAGAAAGAAAGGCAAUUUAG